ACUCCUGCGGGAGGCAGCAGUGGGGAAUAUUGGACAAUGGGCGCAAGCCUGAUCCAGCCAUGCCGCGUGAGUGAUGAAGGCCCUAGGGUUGUAAAGCUCUUUCACCGGUGAAGAUAAUGACGGUAACCGGAGAAGAAGCCCCGGCUAACUUCGUGCCAGCAGCCGCGGUAAUACGAAGGGGGCUAGCGUUGUUCGGAUUUACUGGGCGUAAAGCGCACGUAGGCGGACUAUUAAGUCAGGGGUGAAAUCCCGGGGCUCAACCCCGGAACUGCCUUUGAUACUGGUAGUCUUGAGUUCGAGAGAGGUGAGUGGAAUUCCGAGCGUAGAGGUGAAAUUCGUAGAUAUUCGGAGGAACACCAGUGGCGAAGGCGGCUCACUGGCUCGAUACUGACGCUGAGGUGCGAAAGCGUGGGGAGCAAACAGGAUUAGAAACCCCGGUAGUCCCAUGA
This 449-nucleotide ribosomal RNA is filed under the name uncultured organism. RNAcentral's name for it is "partial 16S ribosomal RNA". It matches the Rfam family "Bacterial small subunit ribosomal RNA", at positions 335 to 800 of the family's 1533-position model. The record is from RNAcentral.